RNAcentral lists this ribosomal RNA (269 nucleotides) under uncultured bacterium. RNAcentral's name for it is "partial 16S ribosomal RNA". It matches the Rfam family "Bacterial small subunit ribosomal RNA", at positions 88 to 354 of the family's 1533-position model. The record is from RNAcentral.
CCGGCGACCGGCGCACGGGUGAGUAACGCGUAUGCAACCUGCCCGUUUCAGCGGGAUAACCCGGAGAAAUCCGGCCUAAUACCGCAUGUGGCCGAGGGGAGGCAUCUUCUUUCGGCCAAAGGAGGCGACUCCGGAGACGGAUGGCAUGCGUGACAUUAGCUAGUUGGCGGGGUAACGGCCCACCAAGGCGACGAUGCGUAGGGGUUCUGAGAGGAAGGUCCCCCACACUGGUACUGAGACACGGACCAGACUCCUACGGAAGGCAGCAG